GACGAGCUCUCCAAACGUUAUUCGGAAUCACUGGGCUUACAGAGUUCGUAGGCGGUCUGGAAAGUUGGGUGUGAAAUCCCUCGGCUCAACCGAGGAACUGCGCUCAAAACUACCAGACUCGAGGGAGAUAGAGGAAAGCGGAACUGAUGGUGGAGCGGUGAAAUGCGUUGAUAUCAUCAGGAACACCGGUGGCGAAGGCGGCUUUCUGGGUCUUACCUGACGCUGAGGAACGAAAGCCAGGGGAGCGAACGGG
Molecule: ribosomal RNA, 253 nt
Filed under: uncultured bacterium
Lineage: Bacteria
Description: partial 16S ribosomal RNA
Rfam family: Bacterial small subunit ribosomal RNA
Source: RNAcentral